CACGGCCAUACGCUCACAUCCAAAGUGCUCUUCAAAGAUGUCAUCAAGGCCAUCAAAGAAUAUGCUUUCAAAACCUCACAGUAUCCAGUGAUCCUGUCUUUGGAGAACCAUUGCUCCAUAGAGCAGCAGAAGAUCAUGGCCCAUCACUUAACCUCCAUCCUGGGCAGUGCUUUGCUCACUCAACCCCUGGGGCAUCAAAUGCCCAACACUUUUCCAGGACCUGAGGAGCUGAAGGGACGUUUCCUGAUCAAGGGCAAGCGUUUGAACAAACUGGAUGCG
This is a long non-coding RNA of Sinocyclocheilus rhinocerous, 279 nucleotides long. RefSeq lists it as uncharacterized. The transcript has 3 exons. The record is from RefSeq and is a predicted model, not a curated record. NCBI's taxonomy places the organism in Eukaryota, Metazoa, Chordata, Actinopteri, Cypriniformes, Cyprinidae.